Choloepus hoffmanni (Hoffmann's two-fingered sloth) is the source of this 104-nucleotide small nuclear RNA. The record is from Ensembl. NCBI's taxonomy places the organism in Eukaryota, Metazoa, Chordata, Mammalia, Pilosa, Megalonychidae.
GUGCUCACUUCAGCACACACGUUCUAAAAUUGGAACAAUACAUGAGAUAAGCAUGGUCCCUACUUAAGGAUGACAUGCAAAUUCAUGAAGUGUUCUUAUAUUUU